RNAcentral lists this ribosomal RNA (380 nucleotides) under uncultured eukaryote. RNAcentral describes it as "partial 18S ribosomal RNA". It matches the Rfam family "Eukaryotic small subunit ribosomal RNA", at positions 592 to 976 of the family's 1831-position model. The record is from RNAcentral.
CAAUAGCGUAUAUUAAAGUUGUUGCGGUUAAAAAGCUCGUAGUUGGAUUUCUGCCGAGGACGACCGGUCCGCCCUCUGGGUGAGUAUCUGGCUCGGCCUGGGCAUCUUCUUGGAGAACGUAGCUGCACUUGACUGUGUGGUGCGGUAUCCAGGACUUUUACUUUGAGGAAAUUAGAGUGUUUCAAGCAGGCUUACGCCUUGAAUACAUUAGCAUGGAAUAAUAAGAUAGGACCUCGGUUCUAUUUUGUUGGUUUCUAGAGCUGAGGUAAUGAUUAAUAGGGAUAGUUGGGGGCAUUCGUAUUUAACGGUCAGAGGUGAAAUUCUUGGAUUUGUUAAAGACGGACUACUGCGAAAGCAUUUGCCAAGGAUGUUUUCAUUNA